ACUCGAGCUCUUGUGACCAGCUUUGAAAAUAGUGGAGGAGACAUAUAUUUCUUUCGAUUUCGACCAGAAGCCUAGGCUGCUGUCUUCCCCCUGGCCCCCAGUUCUGCGUUUUGUUUGUUUUAGAAUGUCUUUAGUACCGUUAUCUAGCAUCGCCACUUUUUUCAGUGGAGAACCAAGGCUGAUCCAGCGUGGAGAAAAUGCACACUCUUCGAACCGCGUGGAAUCAUUUCUGUUUCACCAUGAGCUUGGGCACAUUACUGCCAAGAUCCACGCAAGCCGGACAAGAGAUAUGAUGUGGAGAUCGAACUUGGUUCUGAAGGUGGCGUUGUACGCGCUUCGUGCACUUGUCCCAAAGGCCAAGGACGGUGCCACCACAUGGCUGCAGCCCUUGUCUACGCGAACAAGAAUGUGAGCAGCACGGACAGGGAAUGUUCUUGGACUGUACGGAAGGGAACCAAUGAAACAAAGACUGUGGAUGACAUUUUCCCGAAGUCGAAGCCGUUUUGUGGCAUUUCACAUACCUGCAGGCUCCAUUACAGCCAUUUUCCCAUUGUAGCCAUUUUCCCAUUGCAGCCAUUUUCCCAUUGCAGCCAUUUUCCCAUUACAGCCAUUUUCCCAUUACAGCCAUUUUCCCAUUGCUCGUUUUUCUCGUUUAACCCUGAUGAUGAGCCCAUGGCGGAAAAUUA
This is a long non-coding RNA of Sycon ciliatum, 686 nucleotides long. RefSeq lists it as uncharacterized. NCBI's taxonomy places the organism in Eukaryota, Metazoa, Porifera, Calcarea, Leucosolenida, Sycettidae. The transcript has 3 exons. The record is from RefSeq and is a predicted model, not a curated record.